AGAGUUUGAUCCUGGCUCAGAUUGAACGCUGGCGGCAUGCCUUACACAUGCAAGUCGAACGGUAACAGGUUAAGCUGACGAGUGGCGAACGGGUGAGUAAUGUAUCGGAACGUGCCCAGUCGUGGGGGAUAACUACUCGAAAGAGUGGCUAAUACCGCAUGAGACCUGAGGGUGAAAGCGGGGGAUCGCAAGACCUCGCGCGAUUGGAGCGGCCGAUAUCAGAUUAGCUAGUUGGCGGGGUAAAAGCCCACCAAGGCGACGAUCUGUAGCUGGUCUGAGAGGACGACCAGCCACACUGGGACUGAGACACGGCCCAGACUCCUACGGGAGGCAGCAGUGGGGAAUUUUGGACAAUGGACGAAAGUCUGAUCCAGCCAUGCCGCGUGCGGGAAGAAGGCCUUCGGGUUGUAAACCGCUUUUGUCAGGGAAGAAACGACGUCCUCUAAUACAGGGUGUUAAUGACGGUACCUGAAGAAUAAGCACCGGCUAACUACGUGCCAGCAGCCGCGGUAAUACGUAGGGUGCAAGCGUUAAUCGGAAUUACUGGGCGUAAAGCGUGCGCAGGCGGUUAUGCAAGACAGAUGUGAAAUCCCCGGGCUCAACCUGGGAACUGCAUUUGUGACUGCAUGGCUAGAGUACGGUAGAGGGGGAUGGAAUUCCGCGUGUAGCAGUGAAAUGCGUAGAUAUGCGGAGGAACACCGAUGGCGAAGGCAAUCCCCUGGACCUGUACUGACGCUCAUGCACGAAAGCGUGGGGAGCAAACAGGAUUAGAUACCCUGGUAGUCCACGCCCUAAACGAUGUCAACUGGUUGUUGGGAGGGUUUCUUCUCAGUAACGUAGCUAACGCGUGAAGUUGACCGCCUGGGGAGUACGGCCGCAAGGUUGAAGCUCAAAGGAAUUGACGGGGACCCGCACAAGCGGUGGAUGAUGUGGUUUAAUUCGAUGCAACGCGAAAAACCUUACCUACCCUUGACAUGUCUGGAAUCCUGAAGAGAUUUGGGAGUGCUCGAAAGAGAGCCAGAACACAGGUGCUGCAUGGCCGUCGUCAGCUCGUGUCGUGAGAUGUUGGGUUAAGUCCCGCAACGAGCGCAACCCUUGUCAUUAGUUGCUACGAAAGGGCACUCUAAUGAGACUGCCGGUGACAAACCGGAGGAAGGUGGGGAUGACGUCAGGUCAUCAUGGCCCUUAUGGGUAGGGCUACACACGUCAUACAAUGGCCGGUACAGAGGGCUGCCAACCCGCGAGGGGGAGCCAAUCCCAGAAAACCGGUCGUAGUCCGGAUCGUAGUCUGCAACUCGACUGCGUGAAGUCGGAAUCGCUAGUAAUCGCGGAUCAGCUUGCCGCGGUGAAUACGUUCCCGGGUCUUGUACACACCGCCCGUCACACCAUGGGAGCGGGUUCUGCCAGAAGUAGUUAGCCUAACCGCAAGGGGGGCGAUUACCACGGCAGGGUUCGUGACUGGGGUGAAGUCGUAACAAGGUA
This 1482-nucleotide ribosomal RNA is filed under the name metagenome. Its description in RNAcentral is "bacterial SSU rRNA". It matches the Rfam family "Bacterial small subunit ribosomal RNA". The record is from RNAcentral.